UCAAGCCGCUGCCUUGUCCCCGCAGGCCGCAUCCGCGUGCGGGGGAUCGGAGGGGGACACAAGCGGCGGUACCGGAUGAUCGACUUCCAGCGGCUGCGCUACGAGGAGGGGGCCCCGCCGGAGGCCUUCACCGAGAAGGUCAUCAAUGUCCGCUACGACCCUUGCAGGCGAGUGCGGGGCGCGGGCUCGGCCUGUGGGUUGCGCCUGUGGUUGAGCCUCCUUUCCCCCAGCCCACCGUGGGUUCCCCCCUUCCGUGCAGGUCGGCUGACAUCGCCCUGGUGGCCGGCGGCAACCGGAAGCGCUGGAUCAUUGCCACGGAGAACAUGCAGCCGGGGGACCUCAUCAAAAACUCCCCUCACAUUGGCAGGAUGGCAGUGUCGGCCAACGAAGGGGACGCCUACCCGCUGGGGGCUCUGCCGGUGGGCACGCUGAUCUGCAACCUGGAGAGCCACCCUGGGAAGGGAGCGCAGUACAUCCGGGCAGCCGGGACUUGCGGCGUGCUGCUGAGGAAGGUGAACGGGACGGCCAUCGUGCAGCUGCCCUCC
RNAcentral lists this long non-coding RNA (545 nucleotides) under Calidris pygmaea (Spoon-billed sandpiper). RNAcentral's name for it is "lncRNA (ENSCPGG00000000399.1)". The record is from RNAcentral. Lineage: Eukaryota; Metazoa; Chordata; Aves; Charadriiformes; Scolopacidae.